Gopherus evgoodei (Goodes thornscrub tortoise) is the source of this 1389-nucleotide long non-coding RNA. RefSeq lists it as uncharacterized. The transcript is spliced from 2 exons. The record is from RefSeq and is a predicted model, not a curated record. NCBI's taxonomy places the organism in Eukaryota, Metazoa, Chordata, Testudines, Testudinidae.
UGCUGUGCGGAUGACGCAGCUCGCCGGUCCCAUCAGACUCUCACUUUGGAUCAGCAGGAGCAGAGCAUGCUGGGAGCUGUCGUGCAAUUCCCCCUCCCACCCGCGCGGGGCAGUGGGCGGUGUAGUCUGCGUGCGACUCUGGCGGCAGAACUUCCUGGAGCGCGAGAUGCAGCCCCCCGAGGUGGGGUCCGCAGCGCUAUGGCAACGCCGCCACGAAGGGGUGGGAGAGCGGCGCGCGCUCAGGCCGUGGGGCUCAGCGACGUGAAACCGGCCCGCGAACCCGCGGCGCGGGAGGAUCACCUGGAAAAGACAGUGCUAAGGAGAUCCCAUCAACCGAAAAAUAACAUCAGUCUGAGCCCAGCAUUCUGAUAGCAGCAGCAGAAUCUUAACAGAAUGAGCCCAGGCCAGGUCCCUAUUACUAGUGGUAUGAUAGUCUAGUCUCAGUCUUCCCACACCCGACUCGAGGAAACAGUUGCUGUUAUUCAUGAGCAUGCACAUUUUGUAAUGUAUCUACACCCAUGAAAAAAAUAAACGAACUGCUGAGUUAAAGAAGAGACUGCUGUAUUAUGGUUUCAUUAAAGGAGACUUAAUAAUUUACAACUUAAUGACAAAAUGUAAGCUAUCGGAGAAUUUCAGAGUUACUUGUGGCAUGAAUGUUUAAGAAAAGGCAGCAUAAUACCACAUUUCAAAAUACAAGACACCUUGUACAAUAGUUACUCUCAAGGUAGGCAACAAACUGAAUAUUAUUUUCUUAUUUAUGUAAACAGGAUACUGGGUUUAAGAUAAAAACCAUAACUGACACACAAGUGCCUAGCAAUUGGAAAGAAUCUGGAACCUCAGUUCUUAAAGAGAAACUACUUUCUUGCUGAUUACAUUUAAUGAUUAGGACCCCCUGAAAGAAAAGUACAUUUUGGAAAUCUGCAGAAGACUGGAAGUAUCCAACCAUGAUCAGUCAUAUUCCAAUACUCACACUAAAAAAAAAAAAAAAAAUUUUAUAAAUAUCUACAGUAUUUAAUAAAGAUGUCUCAACCAAGACAACACUUGUCUACAUAUUUAAGUUCAGCACUUAAAAUAAAGAAAAAGUGAAUAAGUACUGUACAGAUAUUUAAUUUGCUCUCAUCCAGAAAACAGAAUUAAGUUCUUCUCUUUUAAAGUCUUUGCAAUUCUGUCAGUGACAUGAAAUUUAGUUAUCCAUUGAAGACAAAAGACUAAUAAACCAUUUUUGUCUGUGGGGAAAGGAGAUACAGUAACAGGACGGUUUAAAGAAACAACAUGUUAGAUCAAGGCAAGUAAGUGUUAGCUUCUUAUUUAACCAUUUAAAUGUUAAGUGACUUGUAUCCCAUCAGUAUAAAUCGGUGAUUCUUUUAGACUCUGGAUUAGUAAAUGUUU